GAGGCAUCUCUUAAAUAUCAAAGGUGAGCCAGUACAGGAUGGACCCGCGUCUGAUUAGCUAGUUGGUAAGGUAACGGCUUACCAAGGCGACGAUCAGUAGCCGACCUGAGAGGGUGAUCGGCCACAUUGGAACUGAGACACGGUCCAAACUCCUACGGGAGGCAGCAGUGGGGAAUAUUGCACAAUGGGCGAAAGCCUGAUGCAGCAACGCCGCGUGAGUGAUGAAGGCCUUCGGGUCGUAAAACUCUGUCCUCAAGGAAGAUAAUGACGGUACUUGAGGAGGAAGCCCCGGCUAACUACGUGCCAGCAGCCGCGGUAAUACGUAGGGGGCUAGCGUUAUCCGGAUUUACUGGGCGUAAAGGGUGCGUAGGCGGUCUUUCAAGUCAGGAGUGAAAGGCUACGGCUCAACCGUAGUAAGCUCUUGAAACUGGGAGACUUGAGUGCAGGAGAGGAGAGUGGAAUUCCUAGUGUAGCGGUGAAAUGCGUAGAUAUUAGGAGGAACACCAGUUGCGAAGGCGGCUCUCUGGACUGUAACUGACGCUGAGGCACGAAAGCGUGGGGAGCAAACAGGAUUAGAUACCCUGGUAGUCCACGCUGUAAACGAUGAGUAC
This 611-nucleotide ribosomal RNA is filed under the name Clostridioides difficile. RNAcentral's name for it is "bacterial SSU rRNA". It matches the Rfam family "Bacterial small subunit ribosomal RNA", at positions 185 to 816 of the family's 1533-position model. Lineage: Bacteria; Bacillati; Bacillota; Clostridia; Peptostreptococcales; Peptostreptococcaceae. The record is from RNAcentral.